UGGUAGCGACCACUAGCGAGUAGAUCGUGGGGAGGAAGUCACAAAAUGGCAGACUUUGACUCAAGCUACUUCCUAAGUUUCUGUUUCUAUUUUGCUAUCUCUGGUUUCGAUUGAAAAAUCUGGCGGGGAACGCCACUAUUUAAAUAUCACAAGUUGAAGAUGAGAGUAUUCUCUGAUGGCUGCGGACUGUAAAGAAAAUGGGGUUGGACGAAGCUAUGGAACGAGACGACAGAGCAAAAGAAGGUCUUAUGGAGCUUGUUCUUCCUGGUUCCACAGCAUUCGAUGAUGGAAUUCUCCCGCCUCUGCACAACUCUUACCUGUAUGAUGACUCUAGGAAGUUGUUUAUGUAUAGUUCUGCACGCCUCAUAAAGAAUGUGGCACUUCAGACACGAUAUGCAGCCUUUCGAGCAGAGAAGAAAGAAUGUGGUUACACAGAGAAAGAACUGGAAGAGACCUUCGGGUUCCUGUUGUUUGACGAUGAAAAAAAGGCCACUGAACUUGGAGAUAGUGGACUUCUUACGGGACACAGCACGUGUUCAACACUUGGGGAUCCCUCAAAGGGUGUGUAUGUAUCUAAAUACUCAGACUGCUUGGACUUCAAGCCAUGGUACAGUGGGAAAUCAGGUCACAUAGCCAUCAUCAAGCUCACCAAGGGCCGAGUGAAAGAGGUAACGGAGAACUACACCCUAAAAUUCACGCCUCCGACCCAGGGGUUUGACUGCCACGAGUCGGAGCAGAUAAAAACAGUCACAGCUGCCACCAGUUCAUUCUUGGCUUUGGAAAGGACACAGUAUUACAUGUACGAGAUUUUGAGUAGAAGCGAAGUAGCAGAAAAGUGCCCACGGCAUGUGUACCCAUUUGCGAUUGUGGAAUUCUCUUAUGGCCAAGCAGAGACCGCCAGCCCAGAGAUAACAGAGGAAAGUGAUGAGAGAACUGUGUCGUUUGACUACAAACCUUGGACAGGCCAGCUGUCGAUUGAGUCCUUUGUGUUCGACAUUGGACUGAAGUCCCACAGUGGAGCUUUGAUACCAGCAAAACUCCCAGAGAUGCUGAGUGUGAAGAGUGUGAUCAGCAUUCCAGACCUGAAGGCACUGUUACCAAAGGAAGUGUUUGAAACCUGUUUUUCUGGAGACAUUUUUGUGGGAGGAAAAUGCUGCAGUCUUUACGAGGUGAUCCCUACGGAUGAGGAUGAGUCCUCCCUUACUCUCCUCAUCGACGAGUUGAAAGAGAAAGAAUUGGCCCUUGUUUUUCUGUUGAGUGAUUCUGGAGUCUUUGUUAUAUUACAUUCAACAUACUUCUUAUCUUAUGAAGAUGCGAGUUCUGAGGAAAUUGAGGCUUUGUAUGGUCUGUUCAUAUUCCCGGAUUCACACACAAUACAGAAAGAUACCAAGAGUAUGCAGAAAAAAUCAGCGCUGUCAUCAAGGGUUAGCCGAGUCCUUCCGGCCUUAAACUACGCAGAGACCGAAGUUGAAAAGUCUGCUCCAGAUCAGCACAGGGAAAUCCGGGCACUGUUCGAGCAGCAUCUGAAGAACUACGGGACUCUAAUCCAGCCAGGGAUGCAGAACAGCCCUCAGAGAGAAGCCAGCAUGUUCCCAGACCAGUACGAUGUCCCCUGCGUUUUCAAGCAGCUCUUCCCACUGCCCAAGUGGACGGACGUCGCCAGGCUGAAGGUGACGAUGUACUUCGAGGAUCCCAGUUCGUUCGAGAUCCCUGUGAAAAGGGCCUCGGAGCUGAUGCACCAGCAGCAGAACAGGGAUGACCCGGAUGAUGAGGUGUACUACUACAUCUCAUCCCCGGAACCGGAAGACGUGUCCGACACUCCGGUCACCACCAGCACAGACACCCAUCUAGAACCGGAGGACAACGUACCCACAGGCGUACUUUCUGAUGUUGCUGCAGAUGAUUCAACUGAAGAAAGUGCCUGUCUGUCUAAUAAGCCGAGGUGUACUGUUCUUUUGGAAGAUGUUGUGAAGACAAACACAAUAGUAUCUUCCCAAGAACAAGAGACAGUCAGUCCCCAGUCCACAGUGCCUAACGGGGUUGAGUCCUCUGAUCGACUAUCACCAGAGAAUCACUAUGGCGACUAUCCAGAGGACUCUCCUAUGUCUGAGCUUGCUACAGGAGAGGACAAUAGUAUUUCUGACUCAGAAGCUCCUGGUACUCCACUUAAGGGGAAGAAACCCCCCCAAGGUGAUGACAUAGACAGCUGUGUAGGGUCUGUUGAGUCUGCCACAGAGAAGUUGCCAGAGAAUAACGGUCAACCAUGUUCAUUACCCGCAUCAGAAUGUAUGCAGUCUGCUUAUUUGGCUAAGGACUUUCCCAAUGCAGAGGAAGAUGCCAGCAGUUCACUCUGUAAGAAGUUAGAGAAACCUCUAGAAGAAGGGACCGAUGACUCUGCAGCAGUGACCUGUCAGAGCGACACUGCAAAGCCUCACUCUGAGUCUGAUCAGACGACAGAUAUCUGUGAAGAAAGUCUAGCAGAAACUAACAGCAAGUCACUAUUAGAAAGACAGAAAGUCCUAGAGGUAGUAGACAAUGUCUCCGUUAUAUCUGGUAAGCCUUUCUCCACUCCGAAAGGGCUAAUGAAGGACAAUGAGUCUGGAAUUCGCACAGGAAAAGCCCUGAGUGUUGUAGAGGCAAAAAUCACCAGUGCAACUGACACUGUCGGCAGCCUUGAUGCGCCUGCAGAGAUGCCAAUAAAAGAUUGUGGUAAAGACAACCCACCGUCUGACCAAAAUCCCAGUGAUGACCUGUCUAAAUCAAAUCAAGAGGAAGAUUCAAGAAGUCCAUUUGUUUUAUUAACAGAGAAACCUUCAGAGGCUGAUGACGACGGCCUUACUGCUACUUUACCUGUUGUCGUUGACUCGUCCACAGUAGUGUCAGUGGAGUGUCACAAGUCAGAGUUGUCUUUGGACUCUGCGGAUGUGGUUUCUGAGAGUAAGGAGCAAGAAAAGCCAGACUCUAAUUGUAUUAAGCAUGAUGCAUCUAAGAACCUAUGUUCAUCUAAAACAGAAGACAGCCCUUUCACUUCAGUCAUUGCAGAGUCCAAGGAACCUCUGGAAACAGAUGUCAAUGGCCCCACUGACACCCUAGUUGGGGGUCCUUCCUCUGCAAAAAUAGCAGCUGAUGUAAGUGAGAAGGAGAACUCUUCAGAGAAAAUGUCACCAGUGGCUGUUUCUAAAUCAAGUACAGACAAAGUACCCUCAACUCAACUUGAUCUAUGUGCAGAUAAGCCUCUAGAAUUGCAGGCUACCAGUGUGCCUUCUAAUCCAACUGAGGCAGGUGACUCUACUGCAGAGGUAUCAACAGAAAACAAUUAUUUGCAGGAUUCAUCGACAGUCUCAGACGGGCCUUCUCUGUCAUCUGAUAUCUUCCCUAACCCUGAAAAAGACAAAGCUGUCAGCAUUUCCCCCAGUACAGAAGUAGUGAAAACUAGACUAGCAUCAGAAGUUGGCAGCCUUUGUACUGACCACCUUCUUGCAGGGGGCAAUUCCCCUGCAGAGACAUUAAGGGAAAAGGAUGGGUCUGAGGAGGCAGUCUCUGAAUUGAGUCUAUCUAAUACUGAGGUAAGCAAAGAUGGAGUAAAACCAGCACUGUCUUUGACAGUUAAGUCUGACCAGUCAGCAGGUGAUCGCAACUCAGAAGUGAUGUCUUCAGAGAUACUUCAGUCUGCUGAACAAGAAGGUUUACUGAAGCCUGGACCUGCUCUGGUCGCCUUCCCUGGAGAGUGUACAUCAUCCAUCACUCCAGUUGUUGUCUCAACAGACCAUGACCAAGGGGUGGACGGGGAUUUGAAUGGUACAAAAUUGCCACCCAGUUCAGGUGCUGCAGAGGGGAUGACUGACAACAGAGCACCCAAUGUCAGUCCAAAACCUUCUGUUCAGAAUGAAACUGGUAAUGACAAACUUCCUGAAACAGAAGCUCCAGUCAAACCAGACUGGAGGACUCUGCCUCGUCGUCGCGGCAGAAGACCUAAGCAGCUGCGAAGAAUCCUGCCAAAGAUAGCCUCAAAACAACAAACAUCACCUAGUAUCAGUCCAACCACCCUUGUUCCAACAGAAACUGACAAGAUUGAGCAUAAGGGAGAGGUACAGGAACUACCCUCUUUAGAAAAUGACCGUUCAAGUUUGUUAAAGCGGAAAAAUGAUGUUUUGCCUCAUGUGGAAGAGGUUGUUUCAUUGAUUAAAAAGGUGGUGCCCUUUGAAAGUUGGGAGCAUAAUUAUUCUCAGUGUGUAAAGGGCACCGCAAACCAGAUGUCUGAAACCUCCACGGAGAUAUCUCCCUCUGGCAAAGGAAAGGAGGGAAAGACCCCUCGCAAACGCAAUAGGAAGGAACAUCGGAAGCUGGCCUCACAAGACUGUAUAUCAAAGCAGGGUGGGGACGAACCCUCUGUGGAGAUUAUUAUUGAGUCCAAACAAGUCCACCGCCUUAAAAGAAAAUUAGACCUAGACAAUUUGAACCAUGACCUAAAGACUGUCAUCACAGAUUGUGGGAAUGUGUUUGUACCCCACGGUUCAGAAAUGCUCCCUCAGGAUGUGGAGUUAGUAAGGAAGAGGCAUAAAUCGGCAGACUGUGGAAAGGGAUUGAACAGAACAAGGUCCGAACCAGGAUCAGUGUCCCAUACAGGGUCACCGGACUCUCCAAGAGAUCCACUUACUGGUAAGGGUAAACCUAAAGAGUGCCUUACACUAAAGGACACAAAAGAUUCCCUUUUACAGACGUUAGAUGGAGGGGUAGGUCUCAAACGAAACCGACGGUUAAGUGACCAUCUCCAUUGUUCAGUGAAUGUAUCGGCCUUUCAGGUUGCUCAAACAGAUAACAAUGCUGCUGUACACAAAGGGGAGUUGGAGAUAAUUCCCACUUUCGUGUUAGAGUUGGAUAGUAACAACCAGACUUCAGUAACUGUUACAGAACAAGAAAAUCUGAUUGAGGAAACUGAUGGAAAUAUUGCCCUUUUGAGUUCUGCAACCAUGGAGUCAUCCGUCAAUAUUGGUGCAGAUGGCCUUCAGGAAACAAAAUCAGACCGGACCACUGAGUCCGAUUGCAAAGGACCUCACAAACCCAAGAGGAAGAAAAGUGCGACGUACACAGUAAUUCCCAUCAGUGAGCUAAAAACAGUGUUCAGGGCAGGGAAAAGGAGUAGCUUAUCAGAUCCAGAGUGUCCAAAAGGACUUGAUCUCAGUUGCUCUAAACCUGACUCCAAGAGACUUAAAAGUUGUGGCGAAGUUAAGAACAAGAUGGAUGUCAACGUCUCUGAUGAGGGCAGUGAGGAAUCUAACCCUGCCUCAAUAGCAGGUUGUGACCUGGGCAAAGAAUCAUUGUCUAAUGAUGUAGUGCCUUCAUCUGAAAUGGCAUCAACAAGUACAAAGAAAUAUAACAAGCUGUUGAAGAAAUGGCAGAAAAUUAAUGCCAAAGACAUCUUCAGAGACCAAGGUGCACCCUCGAACCCUUCCGCCCCCUCGGAUCUCCUCGACAUCGCAUGUCCAGAGGAACUGCAAGGAUCGGAGGACGGCAUACUGGUACAGAUCCAGCUCGAGUCCGUCAACGAGUCCUUGGGCCAGAGGAAGACUGUCAGAGGAGGAAGGCUAGAGGAGGCUGCAGGGCCGUCCUCCUGCAAGAAGCCUUGCAUGCCCGGUUUCCGAAGGCAGAGGGAAAUUGUUCAAAAGGGCGAAUCGAUUGAAAUUUCAAGGCAGUGGAAGGAGACGUAUGACUUCAGUCUGGACAGCAAGUUCAGAAAAAACUCUCGUGAUGAGACGGUGUUGAGAGCACUACAUGGCCCUUGGGAUUUCAACGUCACCGACUCGGACGAAGAUAUUCACCUCAUCUUCCACAUGUGGAUCGGCCUGUUCUACAGCAAGUCCGCUCCUCGUUUCUUUCACCUGGACUCAGACUUCUCUCUACCUGAGGAGGAUGUCGGAGGAGAAAAGUCACCCCGGGACGGCCAUUUACAACUCGAGCUUUCAAAAGUCAGCGCCACGAGUACCCCCAGAGGAACCUCCGGCAUGUUCGCAAAGGCCUUGCCACCGUGCAUGCCGCCAUUUGAAGAUGAGUGCUCGAAGGCGUCUGCUUCAGAGCCACAGCCUUGGCCUGAGAGCCCUUCAUGUGAGGUGUUGGACCUUUCUCUGAAAAGCUGCAAGGCUAUGGACCUGACCAGUACCCCAAAGACCCCAGGAGUGGAAUCCGCCAGUGAUGCGGGUGCUGGACAGUCAGGCGAGUACUGCGAAGGUCCCCUGGAUUUGCGGAUUGAGCCUGUCUGCGCAAGGACACAACCUCAGUUGAAAGUUGCUGAAGAGACCUGCGACUCUGUAAGAACUAUGGAUGAUAGCAAAAACACUACGACUGAUGUAAUCUGUACAAACAUGGACACUUCCUGUCAGAGUGACCUUUCUGAAAAGGCAAAUGUGGACUUUUUUGAUCGUCUUCGUGAGGAUCAGAACCCUGUUGUCACACAGGACGGAGAGAUUAAGUACAGAUUCUUUAUCCUGGCGACAUCUGAAGAUCCCUUUUUCAGAGAAACAAAGGAGCGCCUGGAGUCGGAUGGCCACGUGGCUGUGGAGCCGCACCAGUUUGAACUGGACACACGCGGCCCCUCCUCACCUCUGCUCAUCAUUGUGAGGAAUGAAGACAUCGCUGAGCAUAUCUGUGAGAUUCCUCACCUUCUGGAGUUGAAAAAGUCUUCUGGUGUCGUGUUCGCUGGCAUCGAUCGACCUGAUGACAUCCAGAAUCUCACCCACGAGGAGCUCUUUUCCAAGGGUGGAUUUCUGAUGUUUGACGCAACAUCCCUAAAGAAACUGACCUUAGAGAGCAUGAAGAGCACCGCGGCCUUCCUGGAGGAGCUGAGCAGAAUGGGGAAGUGGAAAUGGUGUCUGCACUACAGAGACAGCCGAGGCCUCCGAGAGGACGCACGGUAAACACGCUCAGCCCAGACGCGCACUGACCCCCCCCCCUCCUCGUGACGCAUCGUCAGUCUGCAGCUCUGAUAUGUGAAGCGAGCUGUUGAGAGAUAUCAGUGAAAAUACAAAGAGAAAUUGACGAGAAUGACAACACAAUGGAAAGUGGCACUUUCACAGAGAAAUCAGUGAAUAUAGUGAAUAUACAAAGAAAAAAAUGGCAAGACUCCAAUGACAACAUGAUGGAAAGUGGUGGCACUUAAAACACAGAGCAAAUGUGAUAGAUUACGCCUCACAAGCCUGGCCUGGUCUUUCUGGGUCACAUGACAUAUCUCUGUAUGUAAACAAUCAGCACAGCUCCACGCUAAUGAGAGAUUUCACCAUACUGGGGUGGUGUAUCUCAGGAGACACAGGCACCAACGAGGAUGCUCGUGGCAAGAAGCAUUUCCUGGAUUCCUGCCAGGAGGCGGGGCUUGUGGAGGUGCUACCCUACCAUGACUGUGAUGUCAUGUCCCAGGAGCGUCCAAACUACUUGCAC
Alosa sapidissima (American shad) is the source of this 7428-nucleotide RNA transcript. RefSeq lists it as uncharacterized. The transcript has 23 exons. NCBI's taxonomy places the organism in Eukaryota, Metazoa, Chordata, Actinopteri, Clupeiformes, Clupeidae. The record is from RefSeq and is a predicted model, not a curated record.